CAUAUAUUUCACAAAUCUUUGGACAAUUUUUAAUGUUGUAAAAAAAACAUCUCAUCGUGUUAGAUCGCUUCGAUGUAUACUGGACAAGUAUUAUUAGUUAAGCACACCCUCAAAUACCUGCUAAACAGCGUUCUUUUGCCUAUGGUAGUCGUGUGUAUAUGAUUUUGAAAAGACGGAUCCGAUCAGGACCACUGUCAUUGAAAAGCGUUAGCGUUAAAGAUUUGAACCUAUUGUGUAUAUAGUAGAUGUCUAAACACUAAAAUCAUCCUCAUAACAGAAUUGCGUCUAGUUAAGCUACAAAAUGGUGCCAGUGAUGAUAUUUGAAUUAGUUUUAAUUGGAAUAUCAAAACCUACGUUUUAUUGAUUAAAACACUAUCCAUAAUAAAAUUCCAAGGCUGAGGACACGAACGUUUUUUCACAUUCUGCUUUGCUGUUAAGAAGAUAUUUUAUUAUCGGAGCAUACAAGUAAUGGCAUACAACCAUUUAUAUAUUUUAUAGCAAGGCAGAACAACGGAGAUUAUAACUAGAUACUAUGCA
This is a long non-coding RNA of Rhagoletis zephyria (snowberry fruit fly), 537 nucleotides long. RefSeq lists it as uncharacterized. The record is from RefSeq and is a predicted model, not a curated record. Lineage: Eukaryota; Metazoa; Arthropoda; Insecta; Diptera; Tephritidae.